RNAcentral lists this long non-coding RNA (1024 nucleotides) under Malus domestica (apple). Its description in RNAcentral is "long non-coding RNA (MDOM_LNC020947)". Lineage: Eukaryota; Viridiplantae; Streptophyta; Magnoliopsida; Rosales; Rosaceae. The record is from RNAcentral.
AGAAUGAAAGCAGGCAUUAAAAAUAAAAAACAUAAAUAAAAGUUAUAGCCUCACAAAUAAACAGUGUCACAUACGGCCGGUUGUACACAAAAAUAUGUUUUAGUUAUCAAGCAUAUGUUCCAUGCAUGCACGAACAUGCAAAAGUUUUGGAGUUCCCCUUCCCUACAUAACAUUUGAAGAUAGAGAAAUCUAAUAAGAAUUGAAUUAAGAUGAGUCACGUUUGAUUACAAAGAACCGAAUUAAUUAAGUUAAAAAGUUUGAUAUUAGAUUUAAUACGAAUUAUUUGGACGUGUAACAUUUGCUUUUAUUCAUCAUACAUCUCAAGCAUUCAAAUUGUUGAUAUGUUAGUUCUAGAGUUAGUACUUUUAAAAUCAUCAUGAUUCAUGUGGGUGUAUAGUAUUCUCAUUGAAAAUGUAUAAUUUGAUAUACGUGAUAUACAAUAUGCGGUUAAGAGUGAUAUCGUAAGUCACUCAAGUGCAAGUGUACAACUUAUGUUAUCAUAAUUUUAUCUAGCAGAUAUCAUAUUAUUGAGUCGAUAAGUACUAGCAUCAGAUGCAUUUAUACAUACGUGAACAACUGACACUAUUAUCAUAAGAUUAUCAUAAGAUUGAGACAAGGAGCAAUGAUAACGACUGGUACUAUAAUUAUUCUACCAUACAACAUACUAACAUGUCAUAUUAUUGAGAAUAGGAGUGUUGGCAUCACCUACUCGCGCGUAAACAACUAAAGCUAUCAUAAUUUUAUGUAAGAAUUAACUUCUUAGGAUUGAGGAUGAGUUCCUUCUCAAUAUACUUAAUAAUAGACUAACAGAAUUUUGUGCUCAUAAUCGAAAUAAUUUAUAUUAUAAAUCACUAUGUAAAGAUCAUUUAUGCAAAAAACUAAUAAAAUAUGAGAUCAUUUAGUCAUCGAACUAUAUAAAAGCAUAUAGACAAAUUUGGUAAAAGAAUUAUGAACUGUCUAUUCAUUUACUAUAGUUGAUUGAUAAAACGAUCCUAUUUUGAAUUGCUUUUGUCAAAAAUUAUCU